Molecule: ribosomal RNA, 425 nt
Filed under: uncultured bacterium
Lineage: Bacteria
Description: partial 16S ribosomal RNA
Rfam family: Bacterial small subunit ribosomal RNA
Source: RNAcentral
GUGGGGAAUAUUGGACAAUGGGCGCAAGCCUGAUCCAGCCAUGCCGCGUGAGUGAUGAAGGCCCUAGGGUUGUAAAGCUCUUUCACCGGUGAAGAUAAUGACGGUAACCGGAGAAGAAGCCCCGGCUAACUUCGUGCCAGCAGCCGCGGUAAUACGAAGGGGGCUAGCGUUGUUCGGAAUUACUGGGCGUAAAGCGCACGUAGGCGGGUAUUUAAGUCAGGGGUGAAAUCCCGGAGCUCAACUCCGGAACUGCCUUUGAUACUGGGUACCUAGAGUAUGGAAGAGGUAAGUGGAAUUCCGAGUGUAGAGGUGAAAUUCGUAGAUAUUCGCAGGAACACCAGUGGCGAAGGCGGCUGACUGGUCCAUUACUGACGCUGAGGUGCGAAAGCGUGGGGAGCAAACAGGAUUAGAAACCCGAGUAGUCC